CCCGCACAAGCGGCGGAGCAUGUUGCUUAAUUCGAUGCAACGCGAAGAACCUUACCUAGGCUUGGCAUGCACGGAAAUCCUCCAGAGAUGGUGGGUCCGUAAGGGCCGUGCACAGGUGGUGCAUGGUUGUCGUCAGCUCGUGUCGUGAGAUGUUGGGUUAAGUCCCGCAACGAGCGCAACCCUCGUUCUAUGUUGCCAGCACGUAAUGGUGGGGACUCAUAGGAGACUGCCGGGGUCAACUCGGAGGAAGGUGGGGAUGACGUCAAAUCAUCAUGCCCCUUAUGUCUAGGGCUGCAAACAUGCUACAAUGGCCGGUACAAAGGGCUGCGAUACCGCGAGGUGGAGCGAAUCCCAAAAAGCCGGUCUCAGUUCGGAUUGGGGUCUGCAACUCGACCCCAUGAAGUUGGAGUCGCUAGUAAUCGCAGAUCAGCAACGCUGCGGUGAAUACGUUCCCGGGCCUU
This 461-nucleotide ribosomal RNA is filed under the name uncultured Blastococcus sp. Its description in RNAcentral is "bacterial SSU rRNA". It matches the Rfam family "Bacterial small subunit ribosomal RNA", at positions 920 to 1382 of the family's 1533-position model. The record is from RNAcentral. Lineage: Bacteria; Bacillati; Actinomycetota; Actinomycetes; Geodermatophilales; Geodermatophilaceae.